CCAUUUCUUCCUCAAAUUGUUGAUAAAUGAUUCUAAACCAUUUUCUUUCUAAACCCAUUACAUUUUUUGAAUUUUUGCAACCUAAAAUCUAGAGUUUUCAUGGUAGAAUUAGGGGUUAUGGUAGAAACUAGGAAUUUCGGAAAUUUGGGGAUUUAGACCUCAAUUUGAGGUCGGAUUCCAAAACUAAUUACAUAUUCGGGCUCGGGGGUAAUUGGGUAAAAGAAUUUUGGUCUGAACCUCGAGUUUUGACCAAGCGGGCCCGGGGUCGAUUUUUUGACUUUUUGGAGAAAAAUUUGGAAAAUUUAAUUUAUGAAAAAUAAUUGAUUCCUUUAGGAAUAUUUAAUAUUAUUGAGUCAUUUUUGAAUAGAUACGAGUGGUUUGGAGGUGAUCUGUAUAUUGAUAUGUUAGUUGAAUAGACUUUCAUCUUUUUGAAAAUAUUUAGGGCCAUUUUGUAGGAAGACCGUAAUAGAUUCAACUGCACCAGUUUAGGAGAAAGCUCUUGAUGCUUUCAUUUUAUUCACACGAGCUACCUUCUACUUUCGCCAAUUCUGAUGAUUUACACACGUGCUAAUACUUAUUUUACUUUUGCAUUAUCUAGAUCAACUUGUCGUCUCGAAUAUAAAGACAAAAAUAUUCUGCUUUCUAAGAGCACAAAAACUAUUAGGGACUUAAUCCAGCUUGUAGAAUUGCAGCAGCAAGAAGAAUUACAUAUUGAUUUAGAUACUUGCACAAUAUACUUUUGAUUUGUUUAAUUUCAAUUUUACUUUUGAUGCAACUUAAAAGUUAAUCAGUUGUGUUCUUAGUUUUGCAACAUUUUGAAUCACAUUGUAUGAUAUUUGUUCAUAUUUGUUUCGCGGUCAGUGAAGAGAAUUUCUUUACGUUAAAUCAAAAACUAAUAAGGUCUUGGGCCCGGGCUCAGUCCAGGCUAUCUCCAACUAGUCUAUUAUAUCGAAGAGAGAAGAGGAGGUCGACCAAGGGCAUAAUGGUCAUUUUAAAUAUAUUAGUACAUUGUUUGCUUGUAUAGAAGAGAGAAGAGGAGGUCGACCAAGGGCAUAAUGGUCAUUUUAAAUAUAUUAGUGCAUUGUUUGCUUGUAUACUAGGCUCAAAAAGCGUAGACCCUAUGUAGAAAUAAUUUAAAAUUGUACUUGAAUUAUUAUCUAAUUAUUGUAUGAUAAAGUAUCAAACUUCGACAAGUAUUACAAAGUGAUUGGUAUCGUAAUACGAUUUCAGAAAAAUUAAAAUGCACAUAAUGCAAAAGAUAAAUAACAAUAAGGUAAUCGUGGUUCUACACAUUAUUACACAAAAGCCUAUUCUCUUUCUUCUUUCCCUAAAGGCGUAGAAAGUGUGUAAUUAGCAACAUACCAAGAAAUAUUAAAAGGAAGAAACAACAAGAAGAAAAAGUAACAAUUGGGCACGGGCAUGCACGGGUACAUCAUCUAGUUGGUUUAUAGAGUCGAAAAUGUUAACUUUUGGAGUGGGAAGUAUAAAUCGCAAUUGAUAAAUGCGACUUCUAAUUUGAGUAAAUACGUUUUAUACGCCUUAAAGCGCAUCUUUUACCUGUCGCUACUCGCUACUACAGAGAGUUUUUGUAAAGUAAAUUCUGGGCAUUUGAAAUCUUCUAACUUUUUUGGAAUAAUAAAUAAGAAACUAUUUUUAGGAUAAUGUAAGAUAUAUAGAAUUUCACACUAUUACAUAAUUUAAAAUCUAAUUGCAAGUAAUUUUGUAUAAUAAAUAUUAGUAAUGGUUAACCUGCAAAAGAUAGCAAAAAUGAUAUGUUAGAGACAGUAAAUUGCAAUUAUACUAAUACAAAAAUAUUUUACACUGUGAGAGAUCAUUUAUCAUUUGUUUGAUUGUCAUUUUUUUCUCGCUAUAGCUAAUACCGGUAUGAUUUAUAAUUCAAUUUAAAUAUUAUCUUACACUUCAUACAAUAUCGGAUAUCUAAUAUUAAUGCUAGCCAUACUGAGUAUUAUUAAUCUUGCAUAUAUAAUUAUGCACUAUAAUCCCAGUGUAACUGAUUUAUGAACUAAUCAGCUUACAAUUUUUAUUNNN
This 2049-nucleotide long non-coding RNA is filed under the name Nicotiana tabacum (common tobacco). RNAcentral's name for it is "long non-coding RNA (NTAB_LNC007240)". Lineage: Eukaryota; Viridiplantae; Streptophyta; Magnoliopsida; Solanales; Solanaceae. The record is from RNAcentral.